This 116-nucleotide ribosomal RNA is filed under the name Propithecus coquereli (Coquerel's sifaka). Lineage: Eukaryota; Metazoa; Chordata; Mammalia; Primates; Indriidae. The record is from RNAcentral.
UUCAGCCAUACCACCCUGAAUGCGCCCAAUCUUGUCUGAUCUUGAAAGCUAAGCGGGGUUGGGCCUGGUUAGUACUUGAAUGGGAGACUGGAGGGCAAUCCUUUGUAUAGCUAAGA